UGAAAUCUUCGGGGCAGGGUGAGAUUCCCUACCGGCGGUACAGCCCGCGAGCCGACAGGCAUGAUCCGGUGAGAUUCCGGAGCCGACAGUAUAGUCUGGAUGAGAGAAGAUCGAC
Eubacterium sp. is the source of this 115-nucleotide regulatory RNA element. It matches the Rfam family "FMN riboswitch aptamer (RFN element)". Rfam says of the family: The RFN element is a highly conserved domain that is found frequently in the 5'-untranslated regions of prokaryotic mRNAs that encode for flavin mononucleotide (FMN) biosynthesis and transport proteins. This element is a metabolite-dependent riboswitch that directly binds FMN in the absence of proteins. The record is from Rfam. NCBI's taxonomy places the organism in Bacteria, Bacillati, Bacillota, Clostridia, Eubacteriales, Eubacteriaceae.